RNAcentral lists this ribosomal RNA (405 nucleotides) under uncultured bacterium. RNAcentral's name for it is "partial 16S ribosomal RNA". It matches the Rfam family "Bacterial small subunit ribosomal RNA", at positions 28 to 526 of the family's 1533-position model. The record is from RNAcentral.
GACGAACGCUGGCGGCGUGCUUAACACAUGCAAGUCGAACGCGUGGCGAACGGGUGAGUAACACGUGGGUGAUCUGCCUUGCACUUCGGGGUAAGCUUGGGAAACUGGGUCUAAUACCGGAUAGUGCAAGAUGAGCUCGCGGGCUAUCAGCUUGUUGGUGGGGGAAUGGCUACCCAGGCGGGACGGGUAGCCGGCCUGAGCGGGUGUACGGCCACAUUGGUACUGAGAUACGGACCAGACGGCUACGGGAGGCAGUGGUGGAGAAUAUUGCACAAUGGGCGGAAGUCUGAUGUAGAGACGCUGCGGGUGGGAUGACGGCCUUCGGGUUGUAAACUCCUUUCGACAGGGACGCGGUACCUGUAUAAGAAGCACCGGCUAACUACGUGCCAGCAGCCGCGGUAAUAC